Molecule: long non-coding RNA, 1107 nt
Organism: Dermacentor silvarum
Lineage: Eukaryota; Metazoa; Arthropoda; Arachnida; Ixodida; Ixodidae
Exons: 2
Source: RefSeq, a predicted model, not a curated record
CCUGCAAGACAAGCACCGCCACAUUUUACACAAGAUCUUCCCAAAAAUAUAGCAACUGUUCAUGGGUGCAUAAGUUUCAGGUAUGCAGCACACUGAUAUUCAGUGCUUAGGAAAUAAAUAAUCAGCAUUUAGGUAAUGCUUGAGAUGUCUAAUUCUUCACCACAAUGCCACUUGGAAUGCCACUUCCAACUCGAGAAAGUGAAUGGCAGUGCUGCCUCUAAACGGAAGUGGUCACUGUGCUUCAUUGGCAGUCCAAGGCCAUUCUUGAGAAGCGUAGUUUCGUUUGCAGUCGAGAAGUGGCGCUGCUCCCUAAGCUGUUCCUCCACUCCACUGAGUAGUGGAGUGGAGGAACAGCAUUGAGUUGAGGAUUGUUUGAUAAUACAGGGCUACAGAAUACAGGCCUUGUCCUCACUGUUUAUGCAGGACAGUGCAGUGAUUUCAUACAAAGCAACUAAGGGCAGUAUUCUCGAACAAUCACUUUCGCAUGAGAUAGUAGAUGGUGCAUUGGCUGAUUUGAGCGGCUUUGCUAAACCAGCCAACCAGCGGGCACUGAAAUUUUGAUCUCUGAAACUGACUGAAUAUAUCCCCUAUACAGUGCCAUUCUUCAACUUGUAUUCUUCAAGUAGUUUCUGACCUUUACAAUGGCACGGAACAUUAAGCGUGGAUGUGUGGCACCAUUCAAAAUCGCAUCAUUCAACUGUGGGCCUUCAUGCACAGACUUUGCGAUUAACUUGGGUACAGGUAUUUUAUUAAAAUGCAACCUCUGUCAUUUUCACCGUUUUCUGCCAGAAUAAAGUGUCAGAAACAAAACUAAAUGACUCUUCGGUAUUUGUAUGGCCCCAUAGACUACAGGCCUGUGCUUUUUGCUUAUAUACACCAUUUUGACACCACCGCAAGGAUUUAUCCUAGAAGUCUAUGAAGGCAUUUUCAAUAGUGCAAGCACAAAAAUGUGAAAGCACGGUCAGAAAACAGCAGUGAAAAUUUUGGGAACACUGUCUCGUGCCUACACUGGUAUUGCUUACAGUAGUCACACCUGAUGGUUCAUGAAGGAAUUAUUUUUUCAAGAUCAUUAAUGUGUUAAGUGGUAUGCCUGAACACUUACUUCAU